Molecule: ribosomal RNA, 497 nt
Filed under: uncultured bacterium
Lineage: Bacteria
Description: partial 16S ribosomal RNA
Rfam family: Bacterial small subunit ribosomal RNA
Source: RNAcentral
GAUGAACGCUGGCGGCGUGCCUAAUACAUGCAAGUCGAGCGAACAGACGAGGAGCUUGCUCCUCUGACGUUAGCGGCGGACGGGUGAGUAACACGUGGAUAACCUACCUAUAAGACUGGGAUAACUUCGGGAAACCGGAGCUAAUACCGGAUAAUAUAUUGAACCGCAUGGUUCAAUAGUGAAAGACGGUUUUGCUGUCACUUAUAGAUGGAUCCGCGCCGCAUUAGCUAGUUGGUAAGGUAACGGCUUACCAAGGCGACGAUGCGUAGCCGACCUGAGAGGGUGAUCGGCCACACUGGAACUGAGACACGGUCCAGACUCCUACGGGAGGCAGCAGUAGGGAAUCUUCCGCAAUGGGCGAAAGCUUGCCGGAGCAACGCCGCGUGAGUGAUGAAGGUCUUCGGAUCGUAAAACUCUGUUAUUAGGGAAGAACAAAUGUGUAAGUAACUAUGCACGUCUUGACGGUACCUAAUCAGAAAGCCACGGCUAACUACGUG